AAAUCAUUUUGAGUAGCACUGGAAUAUAAUUUCAUGUCAUAUAAAAGGUUAUUUUACCUCUCUCACAUUGUGAGUACCACUAAAGCCUUUGAUUUCGAAAUUUCUUCACAUUAGGAUUACAUAUAUUUGCAGAGAAACAAUAACCAGAUCUAUAUGCUUCAUCAUGGGUUCCAAUAGUCAUCAACCCUUUCUGAACUCUUCCACCAAUUCCACUUCUAGCUCCAAGAUCCUUGUCUUCUUCCUUUCUCUCCUUGCAAUUGCAUUCUCCUGUGUUUUUCUUGCUCCCCAUUUGAUCAAAGUUGGCUACCACUCUGAUCCAUCUUUUCUUGAGCAUCUAUGUGAUCAAGCCCAUGAUCCUCAAGCAUGUUUACUAAUGAUAUCUAAAGCUGUCACAGAUAAUGGAGUAGUACAAGAAUCAAAUGGCAUCAAUCUACUGAAGAUUUUUCUGGAAAAAUCUCUCUCACAAAUAAGUAUGACAAUGGAAGCUGCUGCCGCAGGUAUGAACUUCCAGGGCAAGGAUCAGAAGGAUCAAGCAGCUCUAGCUGAUUGUUUGGAGCUGAUGGACUUGUCUAUUGAUCGUGUCAAUUAUAUACUAUCUUCUGCAGCCAACUGGAGCACCCACUCUGUUGAUGCACAGACAUGGCUUAGUGGUGUACUCACUAACCAUGUUACUUGCUUCGAUGAGAUUGCCCAUAAAGCCCAACCAUCCAUGAAACUAAUGCUCCAAGAUUUGAUAUCCAAAACAAGAAUAUCUCUAGCAGUUCUUGCUAGUCUUUCAGCCUCUGAGAAGGAUGAUAAUCUCCGGCCAUUAAAUGGGGGAUUUCCAUCAUGGAUCUUGGCCAGGGAUCGAAAACUUAUAGAAAGUUCAUCGAGCAAUAUUCAGGCCAAUGUGGUGGUGGCACAAGAUGGGAGUGGGAACUACAGAACAAUUCAAGAAGCUGUGGCAUCAGCUCCUGAUAAGAGUAAAAGCCGGUAUGUGAUAUAUGUGAAGAGAGGAACUUACAAGGAGAAUGUGGAUGUUGGGAAGAAGAAGAAGAAUGUAAUGAUUGUGGGUGAUGGUAUGGACUUGACCAUCGUUACUGGUAGCCUCAAUGUGGUGGAUGGAUCAACAACCUUCAAAUCAGCAACCCUUGCUGUUGCAGGGGACGGAUUCAUACUACAAGACGUUUGGGUCCAGAACACAGCAGGACCAGAGAAGCACCAAGCUGUAGCACUUCGUGUUAGUGCAGAUCAAUCUGUCAUCAACCGUUGCCUUAUAGAUGCAUUCCAAGACACUCUCUAUGCACAUAACUAUCGACAGUUCUAUAGAGAUUGCUCCAUAACUGGAACAAUUGACUUCAUAUUUGGUAAUGCAGCUGUUGUUCUCCAAAAAUGCCAAAUUAUCGCUCGAAAGCCUAUGGCAAAACAGAAGAACAUGGUCACUGCACAGGGUCGUAUAGACCCAAAUCAAAACACUGGAACAUCAAUCCAGGACUGUAACAUUAUUGCAAGCCCUGACCUUGAAUUAGUACAAAAUUCCUUCCCUACAUAUCUUGGUAGGCCAUGGAAAGAGUAUUCGAGGACCGUGGUGAUGCAGUCUCACAUUGGUGGGCAUAUUGAUCCUGCAGGUUGGGCAGAGUGGAAUGGGGAUUUCGCAUUAAGGACUUUGUAUUAUGGUGAGUAUGCAAAUAGGGGGCCAGGCGCAGGCACUAGCAGGCGAGUGAAGUGGCCUGGUUACCAUGUGAUUACAGAUCCAAAUGAGGCCAGGAAAUUUACUGUUGCAGAGUUGAUACAAGGGGAAGCAUGGCUAAGUUCCACUGGAGUUUCUUACACUGAAGGACUAUAAUUGAAGAAAAACAUGUGCUACUCUCUCAGUUUCAGGCUAUCCUUUUCUUAUUAAAUAAUGUUGUAUGAGUAGCUAUUUAAUGCCCUGUGUUUGUCAUUUUAUGAUUUGGAAAAGGUUCCAUCUUUAAUUACCAACCCAAUAACCUAAUUAACCUCUUUGAUUUGUAAUAAUUGCAUUGCUAAUCUUGGCUUAUUUUUACUUUCUUUAUAAAAACUCAAACUAAUUGGGAGAUAAAGAUACUAAUCUGCAAGUAUUUGCGUAAAUGGUACUGAAAGGCAAAAUUUGACCACAUAUUGGACACAGACAAAGGGACUGUGGAAUAAGGGAUUGUGGAAGACGUCAACUGAUGCUAAAUCUAGCAUAUGGUAUGGUAAAGGAGAGUAUAAAAUAGUUAAAUCAUUGCAAAAAAAGGGCUCAAGAAUGGCAGACAAGUAAAUGAUGGAGUUGCAGGGAGCAUGUGCAAGGGAUGGGAUGGACAUGGAUAUGGAUUGGACAAAACAUUCAAAAUAGCAGGGCAUCAAAUUUGGACUCUCUGUGAUGGUGGAAACAAAUAUCAAUAUUGUAGUUGCCACAACUCAUUUCCACUUACCAUGUUUACUAAAAU
RNAcentral lists this unclassified non-coding RNA (2429 nucleotides) under Hevea brasiliensis (rubber tree). The record is from RNAcentral. Lineage: Eukaryota; Viridiplantae; Streptophyta; Magnoliopsida; Malpighiales; Euphorbiaceae.